Pyrgilauda ruficollis (rufous-necked snowfinch) is the source of this 1000-nucleotide long non-coding RNA. RefSeq lists it as uncharacterized. Lineage: Eukaryota; Metazoa; Chordata; Aves; Passeriformes; Passeridae. The transcript has 5 exons. The record is from RefSeq and is a predicted model, not a curated record.
GAACAGGAUUCAGCUAAAUGGUUCCCACUGGCUGCUUUAAAGACCUAAAGCCUGUGACCAUGUGAAAUGCCGGAAUGCAUAGCUUUCGCCAUCCCUUCAACUUCAGCUCUCCUAAAAUGCAGAUCCUGAAUGCUGAACACUGGCUUGUCCUGGAAACAGAACAUGUUUGAACAUGGAGUACAACCCCUUGCAAACUCUCUACGUUGAUGUCCUUAGAGAGAUGUGACUUCUUUGGCUGAUCCAGGGGAAGGAGAAAUGAGGAUAAGAAGACAAGUGAGUUAAGAUAACUCAUCCCGUGCCUCUCUGUAGGCUUGAAAAAGACAAGGUUUUUUAAGCCAGCUUCAGAAAUUAUUCUCCUGCCCUGACUUAUGCCCCAGGAAGAAUGAAGAGAACAUGAAAAUACUUUUUAAAGGAUUUGCCUGAUGAUGCCACACCCCUAGUCAUAGGUCUCCAAAGGGAAGAGCUGCUUUUUAUAGGGCAAAUAAGCUGGACCUGCCCAAUGAGGAUGGCAGCAGGAACUGACCAUAUGAGAAUGCUUCAGGAUCAGACUGGUAUGAUUAUGCACGAAGUUCUGGCUGCAACACUAUCCUGAGAAAGCAGCUCGUGGAUGGAGAGAACAAUCUCUGUCAUCUCUUGCUAGUGUUCCCUGGAGAAUAGAUGGUCAAAAAGUGAACUCUUUUUCUGGUUGCAUAUCACAUCCAAUUCUUGAGUCUGUGCAUUGCCCACACAACCAUUGCUGUUGCUUCAAGCAAGCAGUCCUAAUGCUUUCCAUCAAAUAAUUGCUGAGCCAGUUGAUCAAUUUCAAUCAAGUGGGGCAGAAGGAAAGAGCUGUGAGACAUGAAGUUUCGGAAGAAAACAGGUUCUUCAGUAUGUCCAAGGGUCCUUGAAGAGUGCUUUUACCAGGGAAAGUGAUCACAACGCCAGGAGCACCCCAGCAGAGAUUGUCGAUAAAUGCAGUAAACAACAGGCUGCUUUCUCUCAGAAGAAGUUAUAUGAAGUU